Molecule: long non-coding RNA, 1214 nt
Filed under: Capra hircus (goat)
Lineage: Eukaryota; Metazoa; Chordata; Mammalia; Artiodactyla; Bovidae
Description: lncRNA (ENSCHIG00010001647.1)
Source: RNAcentral
UCUGCCGGCCAGAAGAUGGGAGGUUGACUGGGGCAGGGCCUGUGUCUGCCGCUGAGCCAGCGCCUCUCUCAGGCAAGACUGGGCUCUGCUCCUGCCCUUUAUCAUUAUGAAAGGAAAACCGCAGGACCCUGAGUGCAAGACCUACAGCAUGCUGUGCUCACAACUCCUGGGUGUUGUCCAACCAGCUCUGCCCCCACCUCCCAGUGUGGGGUGCCUGCCAUGCAGGUCCCGCCCCCCACCCCCGGGGGCUGCUCAGACAAGCUGAGAGGCAAAGGUGUUUGAUCUCUUUUCUCGCACACCUUCUGGAAAACACUGUGGCCCUGAGCACCAGCCCGUAAACUCUUUCCCUUUACUCCCGUCUCUGAGAGGCAGGUUUUCAUUCGCUUUCUAAACGAAACAUAAACAGCAAUGAUUAACCAGAAGGUGCGGCAUCUGCUGACACCCACGAGGACUGAGCUGGCAAAGUGAAAACCUUUCUGUGCUCUGACGAGUUUCAAAGGCUGGGCUUGAGCUUCUGAAUGCCGCCCUGCGAGGUGAUUUUCACGGUUCCGGGUUUGCAGCAGGCGAAACCGGCUCUCCCAAGGUCACCGUGCAACAAAGGACUCAAGGUAAGCUCCAUGAUGACAGAUGCCUACCUGCCUUCUUCACUUAGUGGCAAGCAUUCCAUAGACCCUUGCUGAAUGCGGGUCUGUUGCCCCCUCAGAGCAACCCUGGGAAAAAGGCACCAUUAUGGCCUAUAUUUCACAGACUAGGACAUAGAGAUACACAAAGACUAAGAAACCUGUCCAAGAUCACAGUGGAGAAACUGAGAUUCAACCCGUGUCCUGACCAGAGCUGGGCUCUUAAACCACUAUAAGAACUACCAUGUCUUAAGCAGCAACCUUCCUUCCCAGCAAGAAACUGAAUCACUCACCUAAGAAUGUCAAUUAUAUCUGCCUUACUGCCACUUAAUCCGAAGCUUAUUUUUUCCCAGAUAACUAUUAAAAAUCCAGAACCAAUACCCACGUGGCCCACCUGUGGUAAUUGUGGCAAUUUCUUUCCUAUUUAAAAACUGUACCAUCCACAACAGAAAGCUACCUCCAAAGUCCCAAAGCAGGUUAAAGAUUUUCCCUCUCAUAUAUAAUCACAUUACAAUAUUUAAAUACAUAAUGCUGGUAUCUAGGGGAGGAAAAAUCACAUGAAAACAAAUGGAUGUGAAUAAUGUGACUUUAUUC